UACGUAGGGGGCAAGCGUUAUCCGGAUUUACUGGGUGUAAAGGGAGCGUAGACGGAUGGACAAGUCUGAUGUGAAAGGCUGGGGCUCAACCCCGGGACUGCAUUGGAAACUGCCCGUCUUGAGUGCCGGAGAGGUAAGCGGAAUUCCUAGUGUAGCGGUGAAAUGCGUAGAUAUUAGGAGGAACACCAGCGGCGAAGGCGGCUUACUGGACGGUAACUGACGUUGAGGCUCGAAAGCGUGGGGAGCAAACAGG
RNAcentral lists this ribosomal RNA (253 nucleotides) under Blautia luti. RNAcentral describes it as "partial 16S ribosomal RNA". It matches the Rfam family "Bacterial small subunit ribosomal RNA", at positions 524 to 776 of the family's 1533-position model. The record is from RNAcentral. Lineage: Bacteria; Bacillati; Bacillota; Clostridia; Lachnospirales; Lachnospiraceae.